UUAAGCGACCAAGCGUACACGGUGGAUGCCCUGGCAGUCAGAGGCGAUGAAGGACGUGCUAAUCUGCGAAAAGCGCCGGUAAGGUGAUAUGAACCGCUACAGCCGGCGAUGUCCGAAUGGGGAAACCCAGUGUGAUUCGUCACACUAUCAUUGCGUGAAUACAUAGCGUAAUGAAGCGAACCGGGGGAACUGAAACAUCUAAGUACCCCGAGGAAAAGAAAUCAACCGAGAUUCCCCCAGUAGCGGCGAGCGAACGGGGAGCAGCCCAGAGCCUGCAUCAGCUUGUGUGUUAGUGGAAGCGUCUGGAAAGGCGCACGGUACAGGGUGACAGUCCCGUACACAAAAGCACACAGGCUGUGAGCUCGAUGAGUAGGGCGGGACACGUGGUAUCCUGUCUGAAUAUGGGGGGACCAUCCUCCAAGGCUAAAUACUCCUGACUGACCGAUAGUGAACCAGUACCGUGAGGGAAAGGCGAAAAGAACCCCGGCGAGGGGAGUGAAACAGAACCUGAAACCGUGUACGUACAAGCAGUGGGAGCACCUUCGUGGUGUGACUGCGUACCUUUUGUAUAAUGGGUCAGCGACUUAUAUUCUGUAGCAAGGUUAACCGCAUAGGGGAGCCGAAGGGAAACCGAGUCUUAACCGGGCGCUAAGUUGCAGGGUAUAGACCCGAAACCCGGUGAUCUAGCCAUGGGCAGGUUGAAGGUUGGGUAACACUAACUGGAGGACCGAACCGACUAAUGUUGAAAAAUUAGCGGAUGACCUGUGGCUGGGGGUGAAAGGCCAAUCAAACCGGGAGAUAGCUGGUUCUCCCCGAAAGCUAUUUAGGUAGCGCCUCGUGAAUUCAUCUCCGGGGGUAGAGCACUGUUUCGGCUAGGGGGCCAUCCCGGCUUACCAACCCGAUGCAAACUGCGAAUACCGGAGAAUGUUAUCACGGGAGACACACGGCGGGUGCUAACGUCCGUCGUGAAGAGGGAAACAACCCAGACCGCCAGCUAAGGUCCCAAAGUCAUGGUUAAGUGGGAAACGAUGUGGGAAGGCCCAGACAGCCAGGAUGUUGGCUUAGAAGCAGCCAUCAUUUAAAGAAAGCGUAAUAGCUCACUGGUCGAGUCGGCCUGCGCGGAAGAUGUAACGGGGCUAAACCAUGCACCGAAGCUGCGGCAGCGAACGUGAGUUCGUUGGGUAGGGGAGCGUUCUGUAAGCCGUCGAAGGUGUGCUGUGAGGCAUGCUGGAGGUAUCAGAAGUGCGAAUGCUGACAUAAGUAACGAUAAAGCGGGUGAAAAGCCCGCUCGCCGGAAGACCAAGGGUUCCUGUCCAACGUUAAUCGGGGCAGGGUGAGUCGACCCCUAAGGCGAGGCCGAAAGGCGUAGUCGAUGGGAAACGGGUUAAUAUUCCCGUACUCGGCGUUACUGCGAAGGGGGGACGGAGAAGGCUAUGUUGGCCGGGCGACGGUUGUCCCGGUUUAAGCGUGUAGGCUGAGCAUCCAGGCAAAUCCGGAUGCUUAAGGCUGAGGCGUGACGACGAGGCGCUACGGCGCUGAAGCAACAAAUGCCCUGCUUCCAGGAAAAGCCUCUAAGCAUCAGGUAACGCGGAAUCGUACCCCAAACCGACACAGGUGGUCAGGUAGAGAAUACCAAGGCGCUUGAGAGAACUCGGGUGAAGGAACUAGGCAAAAUGGUGCCGUAACUUCGGGAGAAGGCACGCUGGCGCGUAGGUGAAGGGACUUGCUCCCGGAGCCGAGGCCAGUCGAAGAUACCAGCUGGCUGCAACUGUUUAUUAAAAACACAGCACUGUGCAAACACGAAAGUGGACGUAUACGGUGUGACGCCUGCCCGGUGCCGGAAGGUUAAUUGAUGGGGUCAGCCGCAAGGCGAAGCUCCUGAUCGAAGCCCCGGUAAACGGCGGCCGUAACUAUAACGGUCCUAAGGUAGCGAAAUUCCUUGUCGGGUAAGUUCCGACCUGCACGAAUGGCGUAAUGAUGGCCAGGCUGUCUCCACCCGAGACUCAGUGAAAUUGAACUCGCUGUGAAGAUGCAGUGUACCCGCGGCAAGACGGAAAGACCCCGUGAACCUUUACUACAGCUUGACACUGAACACCGGUCCUUGAUGUGCAGGAUAGGUGGGAGGCUUUGAAGCGCGGACGCCAGUCCGCGUGGAGCCGCCCUUGAAAUACCACCCUUUAAUGGCUGGUGUUCUAACGUUGGCCCGUAAUCCGGGCUGCGGACAGUGUCUGGUGGGUAGUUUGACUGGGGCGGUCUCCUCCCAAAGCGUAACGGAGGAGUACGAAGGUCAGCUAAUCACGGUCGGACAUCGUGAGGUUAGUGCAAUGGCAUAAGCUGGCUUGACUGCGAGCGUGACGGCGCGAGCAGGUGCGAAAGCAGGUCAUAGUGAUCCGGUGGUUCUGAAUGGAAGGGCCAUCGCUCAACGGAUAAAAGGUACUCCGGGGAUAACAGGCUGAUACCGCCCAAGAGUUCAUAUCGACGGCGGUGUUUGGCACCUCGAUGUCGGCUCAUCACAUCCUGGGGCUGAAGUAGGUCCCAAGGGUAUGGCUGUUCGCCAUUUAAAGUGGUACGCGAGCUGGGUUUAGAACGUCGUGAGACAGUUCGGUCCCUAUCUGCCGUGGGCGCUGGAAGACUGAGAGGGGUUGCUCCUAGUACGAGAGGACCGGAGUGAACGCACCGCUGGUGUUCGGGUUGUCAUGCCAAUGGCACUGCCCGGUAGCUACGUGCGGAAGAGAUAAGUGCUGAAAGCAUCUAAGCACGAAACUUGCCUCGAGAUGAGUCUUCCCUGAGGCCUUUGAGCCUCCUGAAGGGACGUUGAAGACGACGACGUUGAUAGGCCGGGUGUGUAAGCGCAGCGAUGCGUUGAGCUGACCGGUACUAAUGACCCGUGAGGCUUAACCUU
RNAcentral lists this ribosomal RNA (2902 nucleotides) under Mixta theicola. RNAcentral describes it as "23S ribosomal RNA". It matches the Rfam family "Bacterial large subunit ribosomal RNA". Lineage: Bacteria; Pseudomonadati; Pseudomonadota; Gammaproteobacteria; Enterobacterales; Erwiniaceae. The record is from RNAcentral.